Myotis daubentonii (Daubenton's bat) is the source of this 304-nucleotide long non-coding RNA. RefSeq lists it as uncharacterized. The record is from RefSeq and is a predicted model, not a curated record. NCBI's taxonomy places the organism in Eukaryota, Metazoa, Chordata, Mammalia, Chiroptera, Vespertilionidae.
GUUCAGUAUCAGGAGACAAAGAAACAGAAGUCUUGCCUUCAGCAUACACUCAUGGAAAUACAGCUCAACCAAUGAAGACAGUGGGCCCUGAGGCUGUCCUUUUUAUUGGUUGGAAAAGAAAGGUGUGUUUUCAUCUUACAUAGUAAUUCAGAGAUUGGAAGAGGACCUAGAAUUCAAAGCUAAUUCUCUGUGUUUCCGACUAAAAUAAGAUGGGCGAUUAUUCUUUCAUUGGAUGGAAUGGUCAACUUGAUAAUGUUGGAAGAUCUGCUGGACUGAAUUGGAAGACCCCAGAAGCCCUAGAAGA